GAUGAAGAACGUAGCGAAAUGCGAUAAGUAAUGUGAAUUGCAGAAUUCAGUGAAUCAUCGAAUCUUUGAACGCACAUUGCGCCCCCUGGUAUUCCGGGGGGCAUGCCUGUUCGAGCGUCAUUUCACCACUCAAGCCUCGCUUGGUAUUGGGCAUCGCGGUCCGCCGCGUGCCUCAAAUCGACCGGCUGGGUCUUCUGUCCCCUAAGCGUUGUGGAAACUAUUUGCUAAAGGGUGUUCGGGAGGCUACGCCGUAAAACAACCCCAUUUCUAAGGUUGACCUCGGAUCAGGUAGGGAUACCCGCUGAACUUAAGCAUAUCAAUAAGCGGAGGA
RNAcentral lists this unclassified non-coding RNA (331 nucleotides) under soil metagenome. Its description in RNAcentral is "partial contains 5.8S ribosomal RNA, internal transcribed spacer 2, and large subunit ribosomal RNA". The stretch from base 1 to 120 matches the Rfam family "5.8S ribosomal RNA", at positions 35 to 154 of the family's 154-position model. The record is from RNAcentral.